RNAcentral lists this ribosomal RNA (469 nucleotides) under uncultured bacterium. RNAcentral describes it as "bacterial SSU rRNA". It matches the Rfam family "Bacterial small subunit ribosomal RNA", at positions 30 to 517 of the family's 1533-position model. The record is from RNAcentral.
AUUGAACGCUGGCGGCAUGCCUUACACAUGCAAGUCGAACGGCAGCACGGGAGCAAUCCUGGUGGCGAGUGGCGAACGGGUGAGUAAUAUAUCGGAACGUGCCCAGUCGUGGGGGAUAACGUAGCGAAAGCUACGCUAAUACCGCAUACGAUCUAUGGAUGAAAGCGGGGAGUCGCAAGACCUCGCGCGAUUGGAGCGGCCGAUAUCAGAUUAGGUAGUUGGUGGGUAAAAGCCUACCAAGCCUUCGAUCUGUAGCUGGUCUGAGAGGAUGAUCAGCCACAUUGGGACUGAGACACGGCCCAAACUCCUACGGGAGGCAGCAGUGGGGGAAUCUUGCGCAAUGGGCGAAAGCCUGACGCAGCCAUGCCGCGUGAAUGAUGAAGGUCUUAGGAUUGUAAAAUUCUUUCACCGGGGACGAUAAUGACGGUACCCGGAGAAGAAGCCCCGGCUAACUUCGUGCCAGCAGCCG